GUAAUUCAGCAACUGCUGCUGCGAUAAACCCGAGUUCUCACCUGAUUCAAACCCUAAUUUCAUCCCUGGUCUUAUACUUCCUCCUCUGAUUCAAACCCUAAUUUUACCCCUAAUUUACAUCAAGAACAACUCUAGGCGAUAUGAUCCUUAUCUCAUUCUCUCCUAAUUUGUUGAAGUAGGUGAAAUUCCAUCUCAAAUUGAUUUACCUGCUUCAACAAUUCCAUCUCUAAAAACUUUUCACUCCAAAAAUUGUGAAGACAUGACAGAUGUUGGUUUAUCUUCUUCAACAAGACAUAACAGAUGGAGUUUCUCCUAAUUUGUUGAAGCAAGUGAAAUCCUAAUUUGUUCACACCAUUUUUACCCAUGAUCUUACAUCUCAAACAUAUUUUGAACAUCAUUCGAUUCAGAGACGAAGAACUUGUUUCGAAUGAACAAAGACAAAGAACUUAUUUUAGACAAAGAACAAACAUGAACGAUGAAUAGAGACAAAGAACCGAGUAACCCUAGCCGCAAACGCGCCUUGAUUUUUGAUGAUACAUCUUAACUUUCAGAUCCACGUGAUUGUAUGGUAUAUGAUUUGGUUAUUGUGAAAUGGUAUUAUAAAGAUGGUAGAUCUGGAAGAUGGUCAUGAACUUGAACAUGAAGCACCGAUUUGGUUUGGGGGGUAUGAAAUUUUUGUGCACUGGUUUGUUUUGGGGGAUAUGAAAUUCUCGUGCUUGCUGACAAAAUAAGAAAUAAAAACAAAUUCUUAAGCUUGUUGUCACACCCUUAUUUUUCUACGUGUCACCGAUGGGCCUGGUGGGGAGUAUCAUGACGUAGUUGAUAUCAUCAUAGUCAAACAACACAAAUUUAAAAUGCACAGCGGAAGCAAAAAGAUAGAUUUAUUUCAACCGAAUAAAUAUUGUAAUAUUAAGUAUCAUAAACAGUUGAAAUAGAUCCACAGGCG
This 946-nucleotide long non-coding RNA is filed under the name Helianthus annuus (common sunflower). Its description in RNAcentral is "hypothetical non coding rna". Lineage: Eukaryota; Viridiplantae; Streptophyta; Magnoliopsida; Asterales; Asteraceae. The record is from RNAcentral.